Molecule: long non-coding RNA, 1498 nt
Filed under: Aquilegia coerulea
Lineage: Eukaryota; Viridiplantae; Streptophyta; Magnoliopsida; Ranunculales; Ranunculaceae
Description: long non-coding RNA (ACOE_LNC000238)
Source: RNAcentral
GAAGGUUUUCCAUGCGUGGCAUAUUUUAUAUAUGAUUUAAGCAAGUUUAAGGAAAGGUUUCACUUUAACAAGCACAAAGCAUGAGAAAACAUGACAUUGGAUUCGGUUACAAAUAAAGUAACAUCACAGCAGCGCCUGAAAUGGAGGGAUCUAAUAAGGAGUUAGCAGAUGCACUCAUGUUCAGUGGAUCCUGGAACUGGCAGUUUCCGUUUAGUGUUUGACUGUUUUCAUGCCUACCCAUUUCCAGAUCAAGCCUUAACUAGCAGUAUCUACUUAUCAUCGUCGCCAGGUUUGUUCCCAAACAUAUAUAGUCAUUCCUUGCUUCUGUAUAGCCCACAAAACUGCAAUGUGGAGAACCUGCCACUGUUUACUUCCAACUGUAUCUCUAAUGUACUCAGGACAAGCUAUCAGGAGCUCAGUUAUAGAUUGCACACUGUCAAGAUGUCCUUCAAUGUCGAUGCUUUCCUCGAGCAAUCUGUUCCAGAUCAGAUGAGCAUAGGUACGCACAGUUGAUAAAAAGAUGUGAAGUCAUCUCCUGAACUGAGUUAGACAUGGCAUAAUUAGGGAUUAACAACCUUUCCUUUUACAAGCAGUGUAUCAGUCAUUUGAAGUCUGUAGUGCGCCUAAAUUAUCUUCGUGCAACGAUAUAAUAGCAAUCUAUUAUCUAGUAGACCUUUUUAAUUCAAUAAUUUGAGAUCUUGAAUAUUUCAAAAACAUUUGUGUUUAUGUGUGUGCUAAUCUCACCUGAUAUCCUCCGAUGUCUUUGCAUUUACACAGAAGGAAUAGAAAUUGGUGUCGAUGUUGGACACAAGACUCCUUUACCUCCCAUUUCAAAUGAGCAUAGCCCACCAAAGGAAACUCGGAGGGCAAGCUACACUCAAUGGAGAGAUCCAAAAGUAUUGUGUCCGUCACCGACACCAAUUGAGUUUCCCUAACCAUAAAAGAAGAUGGCUGAGCCUGAGCAAGCAAAAGGAAGUAGGAUUGUAGCGAGAAGCUUAUGCGCGACACAAGUUUGAUAUAUAGUCUGGGGACUGGAGUAGUGUGUGAGUGUACUAGUAAGUACUAACCAUAACAACUAUGUAGUACAAGUUAACAGAAGUACAAAAUAACUUGACAUUAAUGAAGAUCUGUUAGUGAGAGAGUAUAGUAUAUAUUAGUAGAAGACUUGUGUCUUUUUAUUUGAACACAGCGAUAAUCAUGCCACAGAUCAGACUAUAACUUGACAUUAAUAUAAUCAUCCACUGAUCGUACUCUAAUUACUCUUCCAAUGCAUAAAUAAUACAUGAGAAAUCCAACUGAGGCCUUCAGCACACAACUGUGGUAUUCACCUACUAAAUAGCUUUAGUGAAAUUUCAAUGCUCAGUUUAAUGUACAUCACGUACCUGUAACACACAUGCCCAUACGGUGACAGCAAAGUUUACAGCCAACAAAGAAAAAGAUCUUCAUAAUGCUGCUAAAUAAGUUUUAACGAGCUUCAUCCGCACUCCAAGGACAUCAC